Macadamia integrifolia is the source of this 978-nucleotide long non-coding RNA. RefSeq lists it as uncharacterized. The record is from RefSeq and is a predicted model, not a curated record. Lineage: Eukaryota; Viridiplantae; Streptophyta; Magnoliopsida; Proteales; Proteaceae. The transcript is spliced from 3 exons.
UUUUACGUCUCAUUUCCCCAUAAAAUGUUCCCUGAGAUUUGUCGGUAAACUUAUCAUAUUUCAUACUCGAUAAAUUCGAUAAAAAAUCGAUGCGAGUCCUAGCCUUCUUCCCCGCUGUUUUUCCAAUCCCCUUCUUCCCCGUUUUUCUCCCUUCUCUGCUUGUUCUUGCCAAGAUCAUCAAUUGUAACUCCUAACCUUGUUAUGGCAAAGCUGUAAGGUCUUCGUGGCCAUUGGUGAGUCUCAUAAACAUCACGUCCAAAGCAACAAGAACGGAAGGGGCGAGGAUCGAUCGUCGGCUCUUUUUGUUCUUCAUUAUCAUCUUUGUUGAGGCACGAUAUACUCUGAUGAAACUCUAAAUUCCGAAGUGGCAUAGCUAGCUCUGAGGUUUCAACGUCAGAAACCCUAGCGGGCAGUGGCUACUCUCCCUCUCCAACACACUAGGGUAGAGCCAUUUUCUCUCCCUCUCUGCAGUUCUGGGACUCUGUUACUUACAGAAACAUUGACUCUCCUUUCCAACUGAAAGAGGAGUUUUCCAAGUGCUACCUUUCUUUCUCUCUUUAACCUCUUUAGAAACUGGAUAUCAAACACAAUCCACAACUGCAGCUAUGUGACCUGACGCUGAACUAAUUAUGACUGUGGUCAUGUUCAAUAAAAAUUCAAGCAAAUUGGUGGAACAAUGAUUUGGACGGAGGAGUUGCUCUGCAAAUUAACAAUAUGGAUUUGGCAAUUGGAUGGCAUGAACCAUAUAUUCAAGAGUUUUGUAGACUCAUGGGGCUAAUAUAAAGAUGUUGGUGAUGGUAUCCAUAUAUCCGAUGGUUGUCGUAAUUCAAUAGAAUUGAUUUUGAUGUGUCCAAUUACGUAGGGGAGCUAUCCAAGUGUUGAUCAGCCUUUGUGAAUUUAGACAAUGAUUAAUAAUAUUUGCUGAUUUGUCUGAUAUGUAACAUAUUUAUGAUAUAUGUGAUUGUGUUGUUGACCCAA